ACAUACAUACAGAGACAGAGAAGGACAACUGAGGUGUGAAGUUCCCAUUGUUAAUCCAAGUCUCUGCCAACAAUGAGUCUGUCCUUUUACACUGUCUCUCUGAUCUCCAUCCUCUGGCCCUGUCUGUCACUGGGAGCUUUGGUGACUCAGUGGCCGCGGACAGUCACAGCCAGAGAGGGGGAGACAGUGAGUUUGAAUUGUCACCAGGACGACAGCUCCCUUUAUACGAUGCUCUGGUACAUCCAACCCCAUCAGGGAGGCCUCACAUUGAUCGGGUACAAUGAACACUCAACCAUAUAUGAGGACAAGUUUAAAUCCGGCUACAACAUUACCAAGACAACUAAUAGAAUGAACUCCACCCUGGAGAUCUCCAGCAUGAACCCAACCCAGGAGGGGGUGUAUUACUGCGCUGCGAGAGAAGGGCACAGCGUCUGUCACUGGGAGCUUUGGUGACUCAGUUGCCGCGGACAGUCACAGCCAGAGAGGGGGAGACAGUGAGUUUUACAUGUAACCAGAAUGACAGUGCCCUUAAUACAAUGCUCUGGUACCUCCAACCCCAUCAGGGAGGCCUCACAUUGAUCGGAUAUGCUGUUCUGUCAAACCCAACGUAUGAGAAAGGCUUUGAAUCUGGUUACAACAUUACACAGAGUAAUGACAAGAAGAAAUCAU
This is a non-coding RNA of Callorhinchus milii (elephant shark), 669 nucleotides long. Lineage: Eukaryota; Metazoa; Chordata; Chondrichthyes; Chimaeriformes; Callorhinchidae. The record is from the annotation of a RefSeq genome assembly.